UACAGAAAGUGCAAGCGUUAUUCAGAUGGAUUGGGUGUAAAGGUAUGUAGGUGGCCGUUUGAACGGAAUACGAAAAGCUAGAGUAUAACUGUAGACAGGUAUUUCCCGAUUAUUUGAGCUAGAGUUAGGAAGGGGUUGAUAGAAAUUCUUUGUAGGGUAAAAUCAGCAAUAAUGGAAUGAAUACCAAAGGCGGAGGCAGUCUCUACUCUUAACUGACACUGAGGUACGAAAGCAUGGGGAGCAAACAGG
This 249-nucleotide ribosomal RNA is filed under the name uncultured bacterium. RNAcentral describes it as "partial 16S ribosomal RNA". It matches the Rfam family "Bacterial small subunit ribosomal RNA", at positions 524 to 776 of the family's 1533-position model. The record is from RNAcentral.